Molecule: long non-coding RNA, 3451 nt
Organism: Anguilla rostrata (American eel)
Lineage: Eukaryota; Metazoa; Chordata; Actinopteri; Anguilliformes; Anguillidae
Exons: 2
Source: RefSeq, a predicted model, not a curated record
GAUGAUAACGAGGGAGACCAAGCAGCGGUGCUGCCAGAGAGAGCAGAUGAAUCCCUUUUCUUGAACAAUUUGGCUUUCUUUUAUUUAAAGUUGCAGGCAAAACUUUUACUGCCAGCAUCAGUCAUACAGUCUAUUAUUGAGGAUUUUCAAGCAGUGCAUGAUAUCAGUCAGUCUCAUUUACUUCAUAAGUUGGACGAAAAGCUGGUAUCAUUGGAUAUCUCUGACCGUGAGAGAGAGAGGUUCUUAAAUCCGAGGAUUUGUUUCGGGCAUGCAACACUGGUACCUUGAAAACUGAUCAAAGACAAAAAACGGUUUUUAAAAAUCAGUUUAGAUACAUUGAGCCAGUCCCACCUUAUCUUGGAAAGAAUGAUAUGGGAUCACAGAGUGGCUUUAGUGAAAACUUCAGUAAAGGCACCCAUUUCUGCAGAUUAUGUACUAGAGCCCGACCGAUAUAUCUAUAAUAUAUUAAUAUAUAUUAUAUAAUAAACAAAAAAAAACGAUGAUUAUUUAUCUGUACUUGUCUGCUUGAACGUUGUAAUUGCUAUUUACUACAAUUAUCCAGUAGAGGGAGCUCUAAUACAAGUGUGAACUGCAGCAGCUGACGCGCUACUUCUCUAAUAAGACGUUUGUUACUCGUGCCUCAUCCAAUAUUCUCCACUGCAAGACUUGUCUGCACAGAUUCGGUUGCGGCAAUAAAGGUAUGUAGAUUUAGUGAAAGUUUUUAAUUAAAUGCGUUUAUACGACCACUAUGUUUAUCAAUCCUCAUUAUCAAACGAGCGAGCUAGCUAACAUAUUUGGUUCACUUUAGCAAGCUAGCAAGCCUUUAUGAACUGGAAGUGAGCACAUAAGCAGCGUAGGAUCUACAUUUCCAGAGGACAUCGCUGUAUUCUCAAAUAAAUAACCAGCCAAAAUAAAAUGGUGAUUGAAUGUGUCACACAUUUGUUUUUGUUUUUUUGUUGUUUUUUAUCUGAGAUAAUGAUAUUAGCUACUAUAUGAUGUUUUGUAAAUAGCCAAGGCGUGAUUGCAAGCGAGUGUCAUCUUGUCACGCGUCAUCGUAGCAAGCUAACCAGACAGUAAAAAAGCAGAUAAAACACUUCGAACAUGAAUCAUUUUAAGCCAUGUUAUCUAGCUUUGUCGUGAUAACAUGAGAGAAGGAUUGCUGUUGGAGAACUGAAUCAACCAAUAGUUAGCGCGGGUAACCUGCACGAAAGCUCAUACAUAUAAGAAAAUACAAUAAGAAAAUAUAAUUAAUUUAACUUACUGAGAAAAUAUAAUAAGAAAUAACGAGGCUGUGUCAUAGCUAAUGCGUUAUUGCGAGCGAGUGUGUCAUCUAGUCACGCGUCAGAGCGCAUUGUAGUUAUUUUCACCGUCUAAUUCUUAUGGACAGGGAAGCUCGUUUGAUAGUCUUAGUAGGAAUAAAAUAAGAAAAUAUAAUUAAUGUACUGAGAAUAGAUACUAAGAAAUAAUAAUAACAAAUUAAUAAUAACAACAAUAAUAAUAAUAAUAAUCAUAAAAAUGCAUGUUUGAAACUGGAAAAGGGAUUUUUUACAUUAAUUUUUUUAUAGAUGUUGGAAAAGAAAGGAGUAAAAGCAAGGUGUGGAGUUAUUUUGAUUUCACACACUUAAAUAUAGUGUUAAUAUGUAUAUUUAAUUUAAUAUCAUCUUUUACUUUUUUUAUCUAAAAAGUUUUGUGUGUUUAUUUUAAUUUUUUUUGUUUGCUUAUAAGUUAAAUGUUCUUAAAUAUAGAAACUUUAAUAAAAUAUAAGUUUUUCAAAUUGGUUUGAAAAUGUUGCACUUUUUGACAAAAUAUCGGUCAAAACAUCGGUAAUCGGUGGGCUAGGACUCCCCAAAAUCGGGAUUGGCACCGGACCCAAAAAUCUGGCAUCGGUCGGGCUCUAUUAUGUACUGUUGGCCAUGCUCAAUUUUUGUCAUCUCCCUUCACAACAGGUGAAAAGAAAACAAUUGCAUCAUACAAAGACAGCGUGCAGCACAGCAUGCAGCAUAACAAUGUCUGAUAUAAGUGAGAGCAUCAAGGACGCAGUCAUUUCUGUCCUGCCAAGUGUGCCAGAAGAAACGAUCUUACACCAGGGAGUGGAAAGCAAAGAUGACUUGCAGUACAUAAGAGAACAGGAAAUUGCAGAGGUUAUUUGACCAAUUCAGUGCAGAAAACUUUUAAAUGCAUGGAAAUGAGCAGGUACUGUAUAUUUACUACUUCACUACCAAAUUAAAGAGUGUAUUAAAAAGCUUAUUGUUUUAUCUAAUUAAUUAUGGCAUAAUUUUAGUCAAUAUUCAUAAUGAUAGAUUUUUGUUUUCAUUGCCAGAUGCCAUAAGUUGUGCUACCCCCUACUCCAGUCCCCAGAAGGCAGUUCAUCACUGUCAAGCUCCUUGAGAUCCAGUAGCCCUUCACCAUCACAUUCCAUUCCAUUCCAUAACUUGGCGUCAUUUUGAUGUCAAUACUUUUGAGUAACUUGGCAUUUUUGUUGUAAACAUGUUUUUUAUGAGAUAUCAUUUCUUUUUGCAAAGAGUUUUAUUAUGAGAGUGAGAAAUGCGAAGUGACCCUGUAAGAAACGUUUGUGGAUUAUGGCUAUCCUUGUGUGAAUUUGUACAGUCUGAUGAGCGUGUACUGUUUAGCAGUUUCGGUUUGCUAUCUAUGUAAAACAGUGGCUGUGACAAAGGGUGCGGUGGCGUAUAAGUGUAAAACGUAUCAGAGAUGCAUGUGAAAUAUGGCCAGUGUAUGUACUCACGUCCAUCCAACUGACAAAAGAAUCAGCAAGCCCGUAGAAUUAUAACUCUCUAGGUCGCAACUUGUGUAGCCUUCUGUCCUGCUCCGUUGUCUGUUAUUUCGUGGAGAUGCACUUUUAGUGUUUGUAAGGUUUAUAAGGCAUUUUGAUAGGCUUAUCUGCAGGUAGGAAUCCUCUUCGCUGUUUUGCUAAACUAGAACCGGAAAACAUGAUAGUGGAGAAUAGGAGCAGACGCAUAUGUCCCAGCAGGUUUUGCAUAUGAGAAAAUAACAACAGUGUGAGAGAAAUUAGGGUGAAAUUAUUAAAUUUCGGAGUUGAAACAAUAUGUUUUUAGCAGAAUGGGCAUGUAGGUGAAAGUUGACAUGAUCACGGAGUAUAGUGCGAAGUAAAUGGAGUGACCAUGAGCGAGCUUAUAUUCCUUAUCGAACGGUAUAUAUAACAGUCGCUAUAAAGUGCCAGCUGUUAAAGUGGGGGGUUAAGUAACACGUGAAAUCUAUUGCACUGCUAUGUUUUUUUCAUGUUCAGUACUAGUACUGAAUCAUGUUUUUAAAUGUAAUAUUUUAAUGGGUAGUUGCAGAACGUACAUACAUAGUAAUUGUUUGUAUGUGGCUGGAUAGAGAACAGGGCGAGGUAACAUGAUGUAGAAAUGUGGCGUUUGCUGAUAAGAAGGUUUUGUACAGUAGCCAAGUGAAGAAAUGUAGUUAGUAGAAA